CUUUAUUCUACAUAAAGGUUGUUGUUACUUUGCUACUGUGAUCUUGAGAAGGACCCUGAGGGGGUCAAAACAUUGAUCAGAUACUCUGUCAAGGAUAGCCAAACAAAUACAGAGGAUGCAGCUGAAGAUCUACAAAAAUAGCAACUGCAAUAGUGUAAUUCAGUAUAAAGUGCAGCUAUGUGCGCUGAACGUAGUUACACACCACAGAAGGGAAACUUAUAUAAUCGCCUUAGGGUGCCUCCCCUUGGAAUGAUGGUGGACUGAUCUGGGACUCUUCUGGAUUUAUCACACCAAUAUGGAAGGCAGGAC
Molecule: non-coding RNA, 309 nt
Organism: Pelobates cultripes (western spadefoot toad)
Lineage: Eukaryota; Metazoa; Chordata; Amphibia; Anura; Pelobatidae
Source: the annotation of a GenBank genome assembly